UACGUAGGGUGCGAGCGUUAAUCGGAAUUACUGGGCGUAAAGCGUGCGCAGGCGGUUCGCUAAGACCGAUGUGAAAUCCCCGGGCUUAACCUGGGAACUGCAUUGGUGACUGGCGGGCUAGAGUAUGGCAGAGGGGGGUAGAAUUCCACGUGUAGCAGCGAAAUGCGUAGAGAUGUGGAGGAAUACCGAUGGCGAAGGCAGCCCCCUGGGCCAAUACUGACGCUCAUGCACGAAAGCGUGGGGAGCAAACAGG
RNAcentral lists this ribosomal RNA (253 nucleotides) under uncultured bacterium. Its description in RNAcentral is "partial 16S ribosomal RNA". It matches the Rfam family "Bacterial small subunit ribosomal RNA", at positions 524 to 776 of the family's 1533-position model. The record is from RNAcentral.